GGGGCCCGCACAAGCGGUGGAGCAUGUGGUUUAAUUCGAUGCAACGCGAAGAACCUUACCUACCCUUGACAUCCUCGGAAGCCGAAAGAGAUUUCGGUGUGCCUUCGGGAACCGAGAGACAGGUGCUGCAUGGCUGUCGUCAGCUCGUGUUGUGAAAUGUUGGGUUAAGUCCCGUAACGAGCGCAACCCUUGUCCCUAUUUGCCAGCGAUUCGGUCGGGAACUCUAGGGAGACUGCCGGUGACAAACCGGAGGAAGGUGGGGACGACGUCAAGUCAUCAUGGACCUUACGGGUAGGGCUACACACGUGCUACAAUGGUCGGUACAAAGGGUUGCGAGUCCGCGAGGCCAAGCCAAUCCCGUAAAGCCGAUCUCAGUCCGGAUCGGAGUCUGCAACUCGACUCCGUGAAGUCGGAAUCGCUAGUAAUCGUGAAUCAGAAUGUCACGGUGAAUACGUUCCCGGGCCUUGUACACACCGCCCGUCACACCAUGGGAGUGGACUGCACCAGAAGUGGUUAGCCUAACCUUCGGGAGGGCGAUCACCACGGUGUGGCUCAUGACUGGGGUGAAGUCGUAACAAGGUAACCAAGGGCGA
This 593-nucleotide ribosomal RNA is filed under the name uncultured Alphaproteobacteria bacterium. RNAcentral's name for it is "bacterial SSU rRNA". It matches the Rfam family "Bacterial small subunit ribosomal RNA", at positions 916 to 1509 of the family's 1533-position model. The record is from RNAcentral. Lineage: Bacteria; Pseudomonadati; Pseudomonadota; Alphaproteobacteria.